This 433-nucleotide ribosomal RNA is filed under the name uncultured bacterium. RNAcentral describes it as "partial 16S ribosomal RNA". It matches the Rfam family "Bacterial small subunit ribosomal RNA", at positions 29 to 507 of the family's 1533-position model. The record is from RNAcentral.
AACGAACGCUGGCGGCAUGCCUAACACAUGCAAGUCGAACGAGCCCUUCGGGUCUAGUGGCGCACGGGUGCGUAACGCGUGGGAACCUGCCCUUAGGUUCGGAAUAACUCACCGAAAGGGGUGCUAAUACCGGAUAAUGUCUUCGGACCAAAGAUUUAUCGCCUUUGGAUGGGCCCGCGUUGGAUUAGCUAGUUGGUAGGGUAAAAGCCUACCAAGGCGACGAUCCAUAGCUGGUCUGAGAGGAUGAUCAGCCACACUGGGACUGAGACACGGCCCAGACUCCUACGGGAGGCAGCAGUGGGGAAUAUUGGACAAUGGGCGAAAGCCUGAUCCAGCAAUGCCGCGUGAGUGAUGAAGGCCUUAGGGUUGUAAAGCUCUUUUACCCGGGAUGAUAAUGACAGUACCGGGAGAAUAAGCUCCGGCUAACUCCGUG